Ipomoea nil (Japanese morning glory) is the source of this 72-nucleotide transfer RNA. It matches the Rfam family "tRNA". Rfam says of the family: Transfer RNA (tRNA) molecules are approximately 80 nucleotides in length. Their secondary structure includes four short double-helical elements and three loops (D, anti-codon, and T loops). Further hydrogen bonds mediate the characteristic L-shaped molecular structure. tRNAs have two regions of fundamental functional importance: the anti-codon, which is responsible for specific mRNA codon recognition, and the 3' end, to which the tRNAs corresponding amino acid is attached (by aminoacyl-tRNA synthetases). tRNAs cope with the degeneracy of the genetic code in two manners: having more than one tRNA (with a specific anti-codon) for a particular amino acid; and 'wobble' base-pairing, i.e. permitting non-standard base-pairing at the 3rd anti-codon position. Lineage: Eukaryota; Viridiplantae; Streptophyta; Magnoliopsida; Solanales; Convolvulaceae. The record is from Rfam.
AUCAAUGUGGCGCAGCGGAAGCGUGGUGGGCUCAUAACCCACAGGUCCCACGAUCAAAACUUGGCUUUGAUA